CAUGAAGUCGGAAUUGCUAGUAAUCGCGGAUCAGCAUGCCGCGGUGAAUACGUUCCCGGGCCUUGUACACACCGCCCGUCACACCAUGGGAGCCGGUAAUACCCGAAGUCAGUAGUCCAACCUCGUGAGGACGCUGCCGAAGGUAGGAUUGGCGACUGGGUGAAGUCGUAACAAGGUAGC
RNAcentral lists this ribosomal RNA (180 nucleotides) under uncultured bacterium. Its description in RNAcentral is "partial 16S ribosomal RNA". It matches the Rfam family "Bacterial small subunit ribosomal RNA", at positions 1319 to 1500 of the family's 1533-position model. The record is from RNAcentral.